RNAcentral lists this long non-coding RNA (1458 nucleotides) under Calidris pugnax (ruff). RNAcentral describes it as "lncRNA (ENSCPUG00000001152.1)". The record is from RNAcentral. Lineage: Eukaryota; Metazoa; Chordata; Aves; Charadriiformes; Scolopacidae.
AUGAAAAACAGGAAGGAAAAGAGAAAGGAAAAGAGGAGAGAGGAAAAAAAAGAGGGAGGAAAAGGGAAGGAAAAGGGGAGGGAAGAAAGAAGGGAGGAAGAGGAGGGAGGAAAAGAGGAGGGAGAAGAAGGAAGAAGAAGAGGAAGGAAUAGUGGAGGGAGGAAAAGGAGGAAGGAAAAGGGGAGAGAGGAAGAGCAGAGAGAGGAAGAGGAGGAAGGAAAAGAGGAGGAAAUCAAAAGGAAAAGAGGAGGGAGGAAGAGGAGGGAGGAAGAGGAGGGAGGAAGAGGAGGGAGGAAGAGGAGGGAGGAAGAGGAGGGAGGAAGAGGAGGGAGGAAGAGGAGGGAGGAAGAGGAGGGAGGAAGAGGAGGGAGGAAGAGGAGGGAGGAAGAGGAGGGAGGAAGAGGAGGGAGGAAGAGGAGGGAGGAAGAGGAGGGAGGAAGAGGAGGGAGGAAGAGGAGGGAGGAAGAGGAGGGAGGAAGAGGAGGGAGGAAGAGGAGGGAGGAAGAGGAGGGAGGAAGAGGAGGGAGGAAGAGGAGGGAGGAAGAGGAGGGAGGAAGAGGAGGGAGGAAAAGAGGAGGGAGGAAGAGGAAGAAGGAAAAACAGAGAGAGGAAAAGGAGGGAGGAAAAGAGGAGGGAGGAAAAGGGAAGGAAAGAGAGAAUGGAGGAAAAGAGGAAGAAGAAAAAGAGGAGGGAGGAAGAGGAGGGAGGCAGAGAGGAGGAAGAGAAGGGAGGAAAAGGGGAGGGAGGAAGAGGAGGGAGGAAAAGGGAAGGAAAAGAGGAAGGAGGAGAAGGGGGAGGAAAAGAGGAAAGAGGAAAAAGAGGAAGGAAAAGAGGAGGAAGGAAAAGUGGAGGGAGGAAGAGGAGGAAGAAAAAGCGGAGAGAGGGAAAGGAGGGAGGAAAAGGGAAGGAAAAGUGGAGGAAGGAAGAGGAGGAAGGCAGAGAGGAAGGAGGAAAAGCAGAGAGAGGAAAAGGGGAGGGAGGAAGAGGGGGAGGGAGGAAAAAGAGGAAGGAAGAGGAGGGAGAAAGAGGGGAGGGAGGAAAAGAAGAGGGAGGAAAAGAAGGAAGGAAAGAGAGAAUGGAGGAAAAGAGGAAGAAGGAGAAGAGGGAGGAAAAGAGGAAGAAGGAAAAGAGGAGGAAGGCAGGAGGGAGGAAGAGGAGGAAGGAAAAGAGGAGGGAGGAAAAGCAGAGAGAGGAAAAGGGGAGGGAGGAAGAGGGGGAGGGAGGAAAAAGAGGAAGGAAGAGGAGGGAGAAAGAGGGGAGGGAGGAAAAGAAGAGGGAGGAAAAGAAGGAAGGAAAGAGAGAAUGGAGGAAAAGAGGAAGAAGGAGAAGAGGGAGGAAAAGAGGAAGAAGGAAAAGAGGAGGAAGGCAGGAGGGAGGAAGAGGAGGAAGGAAAAGAGGAGGGAGGAAAAGCAGAGAGAGGAAGAGGAGGGAGGAAAAGAGGAGGAAAUCAAAAGGUAA